This 229-nucleotide long non-coding RNA is filed under the name Sus scrofa (pig). RNAcentral describes it as "lncRNA (ENSSSCG00070013729.1)". Lineage: Eukaryota; Metazoa; Chordata; Mammalia; Artiodactyla; Suidae. The record is from RNAcentral.
GUGGACGGGAUGGACGAUGAAAGCCUAUGUUUCAUGGAGAGUCUGAGUGACAGCAACCAUGAUGAAAGUGAUACAGACUCAGUGGUGGAGAGCCUGAGCAGCCGCCAGGAUGAGGAGGCUGCAGACUCCUCUGGGACACCUUGAAGCCUCAGCCUGGGACUGGAAGAGUCCAAAAGUUUCCAUCUUGACCAGGAAACAAGAUUGACCUCACUCUUCAUCUAUUACGAGC